RNAcentral lists this transfer RNA (84 nucleotides) under Cytophagales bacterium. RNAcentral's name for it is "tRNA-Leu". It matches the Rfam family "tRNA". From Rfam's summary of the family: Transfer RNA (tRNA) molecules are approximately 80 nucleotides in length. Their secondary structure includes four short double-helical elements and three loops (D, anti-codon, and T loops). Lineage: Bacteria; Pseudomonadati; Bacteroidota; Cytophagia; Cytophagales. The record is from RNAcentral.
GCCUGGGUGGCGGAAUAGGUAGACGCGUUGGUCUCAAACACCAAUGAUGGCAACAUCGUGCCGGUUCGAGCCCGGCCCCAGGUA